CUGUGGCAGAGACGGAGAAGAUGAACAGGGAUUUUAUACCAGGCGUCAGAAGGGAACCAGUGCUAAAGAAAAUGAAAACACCAGGCCGGGAGAGGCAGCUGGCAUGCGGGCCGUGGUGGUUUUACGUGGCCGAUUUGAGAGAGUGAGACCCCUGGGGUCUUGGAGCCAGGCCUGGGAAAAGCUACUUCACGUCAGGCCAGGGGCUGUAGCCCUGGCAACCUCCACUCCGCCUGGAAAUCCUCCACCUCGGGGCCUCUCUUUGCCCAGACCUGGCCCAGGAGGAGCACAUGGGAGCCGGGACCUUCCCAACAAUCCUUGCCGUUGGCUCCACAAACCUCAGCCAGUCCUGCAACCUGGGAUGCCUUUUCCACCAGGAUGCCUGCUACUGUCACUGUUGUCAUUAGAUAAUUAAUGAACUAUAAUUAGAAAUCAUAUCAAUAAAAUUUCACAGUCUAAGGCUGU
RNAcentral lists this long non-coding RNA (462 nucleotides) under Homo sapiens (human). RNAcentral describes it as "non-protein coding TRERNA1:2". Lineage: Eukaryota; Metazoa; Chordata; Mammalia; Primates; Hominidae. The record is from RNAcentral.